UACAGAGGGUGCAAGCGUUGUUCGGAAUUAUUGGGCGUAAAGCGCGUGUAGGCGGCUUUGCAAGUCGGGUGUGAAAUCCCUCGGCUUAACCGAGGAACUGCGUCCGAUACUGAAAGGCUUGAAUCCGGGAGAGGGAUGUGGAAUUCCAGGUGUAGCGGUGAAAUGCGUAGAUAUCUGGAGGAACACCGGUGGCGAAGGCGGCAUCCUGGACCGGUAUUGACGCUGAGGCGCGAAAGCUAGGGGAGCAAACGGG
RNAcentral lists this ribosomal RNA (253 nucleotides) under uncultured bacterium. RNAcentral describes it as "partial 16S ribosomal RNA". It matches the Rfam family "Bacterial small subunit ribosomal RNA", at positions 524 to 776 of the family's 1533-position model. The record is from RNAcentral.